RNAcentral lists this microRNA precursor (144 nucleotides) under Otolemur garnettii (small-eared galago). RNAcentral describes it as "miRNA (ENSOGAG00000021355.1)". The stretch from base 46 to 97 matches the Rfam family "mir-1302 microRNA precursor family". Lineage: Eukaryota; Metazoa; Chordata; Mammalia; Primates; Galagidae. The record is from RNAcentral.
CAGGACUCCCGGUUAAAUGUGAAUUGUAGAUGAAUGAGAAAAGCAUUUGUAGUAUAAUUCCAUCCCAUGCAAUAUUUGGGACAUACUUAUACUAAAAAUCAUUGCUUGUUCACCUGAAAUUCAAAUGUAAGUGUGCAUCCUGGA